This 407-nucleotide ribosomal RNA is filed under the name Cryptocercus sp. CHEO1. RNAcentral describes it as "partial mitochondrial 16S rRNA gene". Lineage: Eukaryota; Metazoa; Arthropoda; Insecta; Blattodea; Cryptocercidae. The record is from RNAcentral.
UUACGCUGUUAUCCCUAAGGUAAUUUAGUCUUAUAAUCAACAAAAAUGGAUCAAAUAUAUAUAAAUAAAUAUAAAAAAAUAAAAAGAGUUAAUUAAAUCUUUCCAUCACCCCAACAAAAUAAAUUUUCAAAUUAAAAAAAUAUCAUACAAAAAAAUAAAAACAUAUAUAAACUCUAUAGGGUCUUCUCGUCCCAAAAAAAUAUUUAGGCAUUUUAACCUAAAAUUUAAAUUCAAUAAAUAAAUUAAAGACAGUUUACACCUCGUCAAACCAUUCAUUCCAGCCUACAAUUAAAAGACUAAUGAUUAUGCUACCUUUGCACGGUCAAAAUACCGCGGCCCUUCAAUACUCAGUGGGCAGGCCAUACAUCAAAAUAUAUUCAAGAAGAGAUGUUUUUGAUAAACAGGCG